RNAcentral lists this ribosomal RNA (253 nucleotides) under uncultured bacterium. RNAcentral's name for it is "partial 16S ribosomal RNA". It matches the Rfam family "Bacterial small subunit ribosomal RNA", at positions 524 to 776 of the family's 1533-position model. The record is from RNAcentral.
AACGUAGGGGACAAGCGUUAUCCGGAUUUACUGGGCGUAAAGCGCCCGUAGGCAGCUUGGCAAGUUGGACGUGAAAGCUCCCGGCUUAACUGGGAGAGGCCGUACAAAACUGCGAAGCUAGAGGUUGGAAGAGGAGAGCAGAAUUCCCGGUGUAGUGGUGGAAUGCGUAGAUAUCGGGAGGAAUACCAGCGGCGAAAGCGGCUCUCUGGUCCAGACCUGACGCUGAGGGGCGAAAGCGUGGGGAGCGAACGGG